Long non-coding RNA from Carassius carassius (crucian carp), 463 nucleotides. RefSeq lists it as uncharacterized. The transcript has 3 exons. NCBI's taxonomy places the organism in Eukaryota, Metazoa, Chordata, Actinopteri, Cypriniformes, Cyprinidae. The record is from RefSeq and is a predicted model, not a curated record.
UACUAGGCGUACAGUAUUUGAUAGGUAGGUGUCUUAAUCAAACGAAAAUUAGUACAUUUUGUUUCGCCUGUUGGUCAGCACAAUGGAAAAAUGGUUGUCUAGCGUUUUUCCCUGUUUAAAGAAGUAAGAGUGAAUGCUGUUCCACCAGACCUGUUGGGUGACGGUUCCAGACAGCACUAAUGGAGAGGUGGUGACUUCAAUAGGAAGUUGCUUUUGGGAGAUUGUCAGCCAUCAUUUUGAUCCCAGAAAAGCAUGAGAGUUUGUCAGGUGCCAACAUAUAUUGCAAUAUUGGCUCCUCUGAAUAAAAUGUAUCCAGAAUUAUACCUGGUUCUUCUGCUUCCGUCUCAUCCACCGAUGUCACUGACACUCCAAGCUCUAAGCACUUUUUCAUGUGAGCUUUUGACUUCAUGUGUUUCGUAAGGUUUCCUGAAAACAGAUUUUAAAGUGUUUGAAUAACUUGCAU